This 255-nucleotide ribosomal RNA is filed under the name Salmonella enterica. RNAcentral describes it as "partial 23S ribosomal RNA". It matches the Rfam family "Bacterial large subunit ribosomal RNA", at positions 1156 to 1325 of the family's 2925-position model. The record is from RNAcentral. RNAcentral also lists the same sequence under 2 other names. Lineage: Bacteria; Pseudomonadati; Pseudomonadota; Gammaproteobacteria; Enterobacterales; Enterobacteriaceae.
GGCCUGCGCGGAAGAUGUAACGGGGCUAAACCAUGCACCGAAGCUGCGGCAGCGAACGUAUCACCCAAGACAACUUUACGGAGUUGACGAUUGACGGAGCGAAGCGACGUCAAAGCGUUCAUUAAAGUCGAGUUGGCUUAGGGAUACGUUCGUUGGGUAGGGGAGCGUUCUGUAAGCCUGUGAAGGUGUGUCGUGAGGCAUGCUGGAGGUAUCAGAAGUGCGAAUGCUGACAUAAGUAACGAUAAAGCGGGUGAA